AUGGAGGGCAACUUCUGCGUCGCCUGCGUCGACCAGCCCGCCAAGGAGGUGGCCGUGCUCUACAUGGUGCCCGGCGACGGCGCCGACCAGGUCACCUGGGCCUGGGCGGGCCAGUUCCACGCCAACAAGAUGGGCUACCACGGGCCACGGCAGGAUGACCCUGCUCCGCUCCAGGGCGCCGCCGAGGUGGUCAUGUGGGAUCCUUUCGAGCAGCUCGUGCUCGCCGUCGACUUCGAUGGCAGGGUCACCCGCUCCAUCGGCCCCCUCUCCGGCGGGAUGUACUACUCGGAUUUCAUCCCCUACGUCAACUCAUACGCCGACAUCUACAGGAGCAUUUGA
Molecule: ribosomal RNA, 339 nt
Filed under: Triticum aestivum (bread wheat)
Lineage: Eukaryota; Viridiplantae; Streptophyta; Magnoliopsida; Poales; Poaceae
Description: partial small subunit ribosomal RNA
Source: RNAcentral